RNAcentral lists this transfer RNA (51 nucleotides) under Nardostachys jatamansi. RNAcentral's name for it is "partial tRNA-Leu". Lineage: Eukaryota; Viridiplantae; Streptophyta; Magnoliopsida; Dipsacales; Caprifoliaceae. The record is from RNAcentral.
CCUCUACCUUUUAUCCUUUUUUGUUAGCGGUUCAAAAUUAGUUAUCUUUCU